UUGUUGUCUUGCUGUGGAAAUGUUUUUCUACAGCCUACAGUGAACAAGGGAAUGAAUAGUGUAGCACAUGCCCUUCUCCUUGGGCAACUAUACUAAUAAUGGGGUCUUCCUGUGACCUUCCCACAAGACGUAUUUGAACACCUGAAGUGAUAUAGAGUCAACUACAUGGAAGGAAGAAGGAAUUUAACAUAAGAGCUCUUAUUCCAGACAGGUUUGAAUUAGUCCUUCUUCUCAUGUUUCUUUAAUUCUUGUUUUGCUUUGUUUUGUUUUGUUUUCAAGAAAAUGUAAUUAUUGUCUGGGAAAUCUGACUUCAACUAGCCACCUGCCAAGUACUGACUCACAUCUGUGUACAAGAUGUUCCCAGUGCUUCUGUAUGUAUUUGUAUCUAUUUGCAGAACAUAUCAGAUCAGCUGCUUUCUGCAUGCAUGGAAAGAAAGGAGAAAGAACCUCCAGCAUAACCCAAAGGACAGGUCCUGGGGUUUCUUUCUCUCCAACUCACUCUGCACGUUUCUACUCUCCAUGUGUUUUGAAAGACUUGAUCAGUGUCGCUCAGAAGCAUUGCCAUGGACGCCCAGCACUCUGCCAAAUAAUAAAAUUCUUCUAGAAGAGAGAACAACUUCAGAAGAAUGAACUGCACCAUGAGAAAGUACAGCACAAACUCCUUUAUAAGCUAAGUGAAAAGCUUCCUGAACAUGGCCUACUUGACCUCAGUGAAGUACUCCAGAAUGUCAGUAAUCAUCUCAUUACCUGCUGGGACUGUUUGCACUUACCAUGCAAGACCUUCAGUACCACUGAUCAGCAAUCCCAUUCUUAUCACAUCGGCUUCCCAGCUUUCAGCAGCAGCUUCAGUGGUGACAGGGCUGGAGCUGCUGCUGCGUGCCUUGGAGAUAAAAAAAGAACACCAUAUCUGACUCACUAAGUUAACAUCUAUCAGCUCUGCCAACACCGUGUUCAGUGUCUGGGAAGCUGAUACAAUAAAUUUCUGCCCAUAUUGGUAAUGGCAAUGAUUCACUGAAGCAGUUUGAAAGAUCACGUAACAGGAUUAGGAUUUCUCUACCUGGCAAAAGAAAUAAGGAUUUAACUACCAUAAAUUAUCCCAGAAAUCUUUCUUUUCCCUUGGCUUUCUUUUCCAUAUUUAGUUG
Molecule: long non-coding RNA, 1142 nt
Filed under: Gallus gallus (chicken)
Lineage: Eukaryota; Metazoa; Chordata; Aves; Galliformes; Phasianidae
Description: lncRNA (ENSGALG00010006669.1)
Source: RNAcentral